Molecule: RNA transcript, 882 nt
Organism: Ipomoea nil (Japanese morning glory)
Lineage: Eukaryota; Viridiplantae; Streptophyta; Magnoliopsida; Solanales; Convolvulaceae
Gene name: sorcin-like
Exons: 10
Source: RefSeq, a predicted model, not a curated record
AAGAACUGUAACCACAAAACGAUAAUGGAGAAGACGGCGAUUCUGAAAGAGUGGUUUGACCGGGUUGACUCGGACAAAACCGGAAACAUCACUGCAAUCCAACUUAAGAGUGUGUUCGCCAUUGGAAAUUUAGAAUUCCCUAUCUCCGUUGUGGAGCAGAUGAUCAGAAUGUACGACUUUGACAGGAAUGGAACCAUGAGUUUUGAUGAGUUUGCUGAGCUCAAUAAGUUUCUUCAGAAGAUUCAAAAUGUAUUCUCAGGCUUGGAAAGGGGUCGUGGAUUUCUUAUGCCAGACGAUGUAUAUGAGGCAUUGACUAGAAUUGGGUUUUCCCUUGACUCCCCAGCAUUCUACACAGUCUGUGAGAGUUUUGACAAAGCAAAGAAUGGGAAAUUCAAGCUUGAUGAUUUCAUAUCUCUUUGUAUCUUUGUACAGUCUGCACGGAACCUGUUUAACUCAUUCGAUACAAGUAAACAAGGCAGGAUCAGUCUUGAUUUCAAUCAAUUUUGUUAUUGUACUGCCAAUUGCAGAAUAUGAAAUCAGCAUCUCCUAUGUGAUAUUGGGCUGCAAGCCAGAGUCUGAAUAAUUAUGGAUUGGAAGGAGGAUGGUGUGGUGUUAAUGUGUUAUCAUGUCUGCCUUGAGCUGUGAAUAUUCUUUCUGCUCUAUAGUGCUGAAACCCAUUCUUUUUAUCUAUACUGUCUGUACUAGACUAGAUGUCUGAUACCCACCCUUUAUCGUAAAAGUGUAGUAGUCUUAAUGGUGUAUUGUAACGAUUGAUUUCCUUUGAGUUUGAUAUUUACUUCCCAACAGAUGCAUAUAUCGGCAUAUAUGCAAUAGUAAACAAAUCUAUGAUUUUUGCUCAAAUAAAAAAUUGAAUUGAACCAA